RNAcentral lists this non-coding RNA (95 nucleotides) under Micromonospora nigra. RNAcentral's name for it is "Glycine sequence". It matches the Rfam family "Glycine riboswitch aptamer". From Rfam's summary of the family: This family represents the bacterial glycine riboswitch. Lineage: Bacteria; Bacillati; Actinomycetota; Actinomycetes; Micromonosporales; Micromonosporaceae. The record is from Rfam by way of RNAcentral.
ACCACCCGUGUGGGAGAGACCGCCCUCUGCGGGGGCGGCGCCGAAGGGGCAAAUCCUCCCCGGAACCUCUCAGGCAAAAGGACCUCGCGGGCAGG